Molecule: ribosomal RNA, 448 nt
Filed under: uncultured Planctomycetota bacterium
Lineage: Bacteria; Pseudomonadati; Planctomycetota
Description: bacterial SSU rRNA
Rfam family: Bacterial small subunit ribosomal RNA
Source: RNAcentral
GCUUAAAGAGGGGUUAAUGUCCUAUCAGCUAGUUGGUGGGGUAAUGGCCUACCAAGGCAAAGACGGGUAGCCGGCUUGAGAGGGUGGUCGGCCACACUGGGACUGAGACACUGCCCAGACUCCUACGGGAGGCUGCAGUCGAGAAUCUUUCGCAAUGCCCGAAAGGGUGACGAAGCGACGCCGCGUGUGGGAAGAAGGCCUUCGGGUUGUAAACCACUGUCGGGAGUUAGGAAAUGCAAGAGCGUUAAUAGCGCACUUGCUUGACUAAGGCUCCAGAGGAAGCCACGGCUAACUCUGUGCCAGCAGCCGCGGUAAUACAGAGGCGGCAAGCGUUGUUCGGAAUUAUUGGGCGUAAAGAGCACGUAGGCGGCCUUGCAAGUCAGUUGUGAAAGCCUUCCGCUUAACGGAAGAACGGCAUCUGAUACUACAGGGCCUGAGUACGGGAGGG